UUGAAAGGGAAACGAUUGAAGUCAGUCGUACCAGCGGGAAAUCAACCUUUCGAGUGGGGGUUUUGGAGUUUUGAAGAGUGUCAAAACCUUUGAGAUUUCAAAAUUUUCGCUCUUUUGGUGUACUUUCUCGUGGGUAGGUUAACAUCGAUUUUGAUCAUCAUAAAAAGAUUGGAGGAAUGUAGCUUCGAUCUUGUAUUGAAGUGUUAUAGCCUUUGGUAAAUGUGAUGAUUAGGAUCGAGGAUUGCAACGAAUACCCUUUUGGGCUAUCCGCCUGAUCUCUGAUACGUGGCCUUGGUAUCGAAAGCGUGCUUAUGGUAUCAAGGUAUUACGGUCAAAAGGUUAGAACGGAUUACAUUCGUUAAGGAGUUGACGUA
RNAcentral lists this ribosomal RNA (374 nucleotides) under uncultured Glomeromycotina. Its description in RNAcentral is "LSU rRNA". Lineage: Eukaryota; Fungi; Glomeromycota. The record is from RNAcentral.